UCUAUCAGACAGAAUAGAGAGUUGGGUCAUAUUCAGUAGGCACAAAAUGUAAGAAAGUACCUCCCUGGAAAGAACAGCUAUCUGAACAAGUAACUCAUUUUCUGUUGCCAAAACAUUUUGCUAUGGUGUGCCCUGAUGGUGGAGCAGGAGCAGUAAAUCAAUGUGAUUUAUGAGAUGCAUGGAUCUGGUGAGGCUACUGGGGUACAAGAUUGGGAGCGUGCUAUGGAAUUCUGCUGCAGACAGUUGCGUGUGGCCAGGUCUCUGUGGACAAAGUGCUGGGAGGCCAGGUAGACCAUGCCUGCAGCAAUCUGCUGGGCGAUGUGCAGCAUCUGGGACUGGGUCAGCUCCACCAUCAGGCUGUGCUGCCCAUCAGCCAUCAGCACCAUGUCAGGACCAUGGGACCUGCACCACAACACAGACACAGGAAGAAUGGACACCGGGACACAGGACGGUACCUGAGAAACUUGUUGAGGUCGCCGUGCUUCAUGUACUCGAACACCAUGAUGAGCGGGUCGCUGUCCACACACACGCCGUAGAAGGUGAC
Molecule: long non-coding RNA, 544 nt
Organism: Oncorhynchus mykiss (rainbow trout)
Lineage: Eukaryota; Metazoa; Chordata; Actinopteri; Salmoniformes; Salmonidae
Source: RefSeq, a predicted model, not a curated record